Molecule: small nucleolar RNA, 131 nt
Organism: Mus pahari (shrew mouse)
Lineage: Eukaryota; Metazoa; Chordata; Mammalia; Rodentia; Muridae
Product: small nucleolar RNA SNORA17
Exons: 1
Source: RefSeq, a predicted model, not a curated record
ACUGCCCCUGUAAGUGUUACAGGUAUGGCUGCUGUGUCACAUGUGAGUCUGUAGUUGAAGAGGAGAAAGAGGCUAUGUUUACACUCAGUGGUCUGUCCUACAAACAUCUGAGUGAUUAGUGGUCUAACACU